Molecule: ribosomal RNA, 317 nt
Filed under: uncultured bacterium
Lineage: Bacteria
Description: bacterial SSU rRNA
Rfam family: Bacterial small subunit ribosomal RNA
Source: RNAcentral
GAUGAACGCUGGCGGCGUGCUUAACACAUGCAAGUCGAGCGAAGGAUAGUAGAGAGCAUGCUCAAAGCUAAACUUAGCGGCGGACGGGUGAGUAACGUGUGGGCAACCUGCCUCAUACAGGGGGAUAAUCAUGUGAAAACGUGACUAAUACCGCAUAAUGUUAUGUUCAGGCAUCUGAAUAUAAAGGAAGGAGAAAUCCGGUAUGAGAUGGGCCCGCAUCUGAUUAGCUAGUUGGUGAGAUAACAGCCCACCAAGGCGACGAUCAGUAGCCGACCUGAGAGGGUGAACGGCCACAUUGGGACUGAGACACGGCCCAA